ACGAACGCUGGCGGCAUGCUUCACACAUGCACGUCGAACGGAAAGGCCCUGCUUUUGUGGGGUGCUCGAGUGGCGAACGGGUGAGUAACACGUGAGUAACCUGCCCUUGACUUUGGGAUAACUUCAGGAAACUGGGGCUAAUACCGGAUAGGAGCUCCUGCUGCAUGGUGGGGGUUGGAAAGUUUCGGCGGUUGGGGAUGGACUCGCGGCUUAUCAGCUUGUUGGUGGGGUAGUGGCUUACCAAGGCUUUGACGGGUAGCCGGCCUGAGAGGGUGACCAGCCACAUUGGGACUGAGAUACGGCCCAGACUCCUACGGGAGGCAGCAGUGGGGAAUAUUGCACAAUGGGCGGAAGCCUGAUGCAGCAACGCCGCGUGCGGGAUGACGGCCUUCGGGUUGUAAACCGCUUUCGCCUGUGACGAAGCGUGAGUGACGGUAAUGGGUAAAGAAGCACCGGCUAACUACGUG
Molecule: ribosomal RNA, 467 nt
Filed under: uncultured bacterium
Lineage: Bacteria
Description: partial 16S ribosomal RNA
Rfam family: Bacterial small subunit ribosomal RNA
Source: RNAcentral